UGUUGAUUGUUUGAAAGUUUUCUCCAAUAACAUGGGGAAGAAAACUGAUCCAGUGAUCACAAAGUGCAAGGAGAGUGACAACUGGACCAAGGUGACUUUUAAGCCAGAUUUGGCUAAGUUUAACAUGACACAUUUAGAAGAUGAUGUUGUUGCGCUGAUGAAAAAGAGAGUUUUUGAUAUGGCUGGAUGCCUUGGGAAUAAUGUGAAAGUGGAACUUAAUGGAAAACGAGUUCCUGUGCUAUUAAACCAAGCAUUUAAACCAAGCAAUGAGAUGCAUUUGAUAAUGAGAAACUUUUAGCUUCUAUGGAUAAGCUGAGGAAUGGGCAAGCAGUAGAUAUUCCAAACUAUGACUUCAAGAGUUACAAAAACAAUGUCUUCCCGCCUAGAAGGGUAAACCCUUCAGAUGUGAUAAUUUUGGAAGGCAUUCUCAUUUUUCAUGAUCCCCGUGUUCGAGAGUUGAUGAAUAUGAAGAUAUUUGUUGAUACAUUGCAGAUGCUGAUGUUCGUUUAGCAAGGAGGAUAAGGCGUGACACAGUAGAAAAAAACAGGGAUAUUGGUACAGUUCUUGAUCAGGUGAUUUAUUCUUCAAAGACAACAUGCCCAUGCCUAUACCUGCUUGUACUCUAAGUUGAGG
Molecule: RNA transcript, 633 nt
Organism: Humulus lupulus (European hop)
Lineage: Eukaryota; Viridiplantae; Streptophyta; Magnoliopsida; Rosales; Cannabaceae
Gene name: uridine kinase-like protein 3
Exons: 5
Source: RefSeq, a predicted model, not a curated record